Molecule: ribosomal RNA, 253 nt
Filed under: uncultured bacterium
Lineage: Bacteria
Description: partial 16S ribosomal RNA
Rfam family: Bacterial small subunit ribosomal RNA
Source: RNAcentral
UACGGAGGGUGCGAGCGUUGUCCGGAAUCACUGGGCGUAAAGGGCGCGUAGGCGGCCUGAUAAGUAGGGGGUGAAAUCCUGCGGCUUAACCGCAGGGCUGCCUUCUAAACUGUCAGGCUGGAGCACAGUAGAGGCAGGUGGAAUUCCCGGUGUAGCGGUGGAAUGCGUAGAGAUCGGGAAGAACAUCAGUGGCGAAGGCGGCCUGCUGGGCUGUUGCUGACGCUGAGGCGCGACAGCAUGGGGAGCGAACAGG